GGGUUGUGAGGUUAAGCGACUAAGCGUACACGGUGGAUGCCUAGGCAGUCAGAGGCGAUGAAGGGCGUGCUAAUCUGCGAUAAGCGUCGGUAAGCUGAUAUGAAGCGUUAUACCCGACGAUACCCGAAUGGGGAAACCCAGUGUGUUUCGACACACUAUCAUUACGUGAAUACAUAGCGUAAUGAGGCGAACCGGGGGAACUGAAACAUCUCAGUACCCCGAGGAAAAGAAAUCAACCGAGAUUCCCCUAGUAGCGGCGAGCGAACGGGGAGGAGCCCAGAACCUGAAUCAGUUUGUGUGUUAGUGGAAGCGUCUGGAAAGUCGCACAGUAAAGGGUGAUAGUCCCGUACACAAAAAUGCACAAGUUGUGAGUUCGAUGAGUAGGGCGGGACACGUGACAUCCUGUCUGAAUAUGGGGGGACCAUCCUCCAAGGCUAAAUACUCCUGACUGACCGAUAGUGAACCAGUACCGUGAGGGAAAGGCGAAAAGAACCCCGGCGAGGGGAGUGAAAUAGAACCUGAAACCGUGUACGUACAAGCAGUGGGAGCCUACUUGUUAGGUGACUGCGUACCUUUUGUAUAAUGGGUCAGCGACUUAUAUUCUGUAGCAAGGUUAACCGUAUAGGGGAGCCGCAGGGAAACCGAGUCUUAACUGGGCGUUAAGUUGCAGGGUAUAGACCCGAAACCCGGUGAUCUAGCCAUGGGCAGGUUGAAGGUUGGGUAACACUAACUGGAGGACCGAACCGACUAAUGUUGAAAAAUUAGCGGAUGACUUGUGGCUGGGGGUGAAAGGCCAAUCAAACCGGGAGAUAGCUGGUUCUCCCCGAAAGCUAUUUAGGUAGCGCCUCGUGAAUUCAUCUUCGGGGGUAGAGCACUGUUUCGGCUAGGGGGUCAUCCCGACUUACCAACCCGAUGCAAACUACGAAUACCGAAGAAUGUUAUCACGGGAGACACACGGCGGGUGCUAACGUUCGUCGUGAAGAGGGAAACAACCCAGACCGCCAGCUAAGGUCCCAAAGUCAUGGUUAAGUGGGAAACGAUGUGGGAAGGCACAGACAGCCAGGAUGUUGGCUUAGAAGCAGCCAUCAUUUAAAGAAAGCGUAAUAGCUCACUGGUCGAGUCGGCCUGCGCGGAAGAUGUAACGGGGCUAAACCAUGCACCGAAGCUGCGGCAGCGACACUUAGGUGUUGUUGGGUAGGGGAGCGUUCUGUAAGCCGUUGAAGGUGGCCUGUGAGGGUUGCUGGAGGUAUCAGAAGUGCGAAUGCUGACAUAAGUAACGAUAAUGCGGGUGAAAAACCCGCACGCCGGAAGACCAAGGGUUCCUGUCCAACGUUAAUCGGGGCAGGGUGAGUCGACCCCUAAGGCGAGGCUGAAAAGCGUAGUCGAUGGGAAACAGGUUAAUAUUCCUGUACUCGGUGUUACUGCGAAGGGGGGACGGAGAAAGCUAGGUUAUCCGGGCGACGGUUGUCCCGGUUUAAGCGUGAAGGUGGGUGACUUAGGUAAAUCCGGGUCAUCGUUAACACUGAGGCGUGAUGACGAGUCACUACGGUGAUGAAGUAACCAAUGCUACGCUUCCAGGAAAAGCCUCUAAGCUCCAGGUAACAUCAAAUCGUACCCCAAACCGACACAGGUGGUCAGGUAGAGAAUACUCAGGCGCUUGAGAGAACUCGGGUGAAGGAACUAGGCAAAAUGGUGCCGUAACUUCGGGAGAAGGCACGCUGGCGCGUAGGUGAAGUCCCUUGCGGAUGGAGCUGAAGCCAGUCGCAGAUACCAGCUGGCUGCAACUGUUUAAUAAAAACACAGCACUGUGCAAACACGAAAGUGGACGUAUACGGUGUGACGCCUGCCCGGUGCCGGAAGGUUAAUUGAUGGGGUCAGCCGCAAGGCGAAGCUCUUGAUCGAAGCCCCGGUAAACGGCGGCCGUAACUAUAACGGUCCUAAGGUAGCGAAAUU
Molecule: ribosomal RNA, 1953 nt
Filed under: Geobacillus sp. PK12
Lineage: Bacteria; Bacillati; Bacillota; Bacilli; Caryophanales; Anoxybacillaceae
Description: partial 23S ribosomal RNA
Rfam family: Bacterial large subunit ribosomal RNA
Source: RNAcentral